This 114-nucleotide ribosomal RNA is filed under the name Acanthosepion pharaonis. Lineage: Eukaryota; Metazoa; Mollusca; Cephalopoda; Sepiida; Sepiidae. The record is from RNAcentral.
UUAUGGUCAUAUCAUGUUGAAAUACCAGUUCCCAUACGACCACCAAAGUUAAGCAAUGUCAAGCCUAGUCAGUACCUAGAUUAGUGACAGCUUGGGAAUACCAAGUUCUGUAAG